UACGUAGGGGGCAAGCGUUGUCCGGAAUCAUUGGGCGUAAAGAGCGUGUAGGCGGCCCGGUAAGUCCGUUGUGAAAGUCCAGGGCUCAACCCUGGAAUGCCGAUGGAUACUGCCGGGCUAGAGUUCGGAAGAGGCGAGUGGAAUUCCUGGUGUAGCGGUGGAAUGCGCAGAUAUCAGGAGGAACACCGAUAGCGAAGGCAGCUCGCUGGGACGACACUGACGCUGAGACGCGAAAGCGUGGGGAGCGAACAGG
Molecule: ribosomal RNA, 253 nt
Filed under: uncultured bacterium
Lineage: Bacteria
Description: partial 16S ribosomal RNA
Rfam family: Bacterial small subunit ribosomal RNA
Source: RNAcentral